Molecule: transfer RNA, 73 nt
Filed under: Candidatus Omnitrophota bacterium
Lineage: Bacteria; Pseudomonadati; Candidatus Omnitrophota
Description: Candidatus Omnitrophica bacterium (groundwater metagenome) tRNA-Thr
Rfam family: tRNA
About the family: Transfer RNA (tRNA) molecules are approximately 80 nucleotides in length. Their secondary structure includes four short double-helical elements and three loops (D, anti-codon, and T loops).
Source: RNAcentral
GCUGGAGUAGCUCAGCUGGUAGAGCAGUCGAUUCGUAAUCGACAGGUCACCGGUUCGAUCCCGGUCUCCAGCU